GGAAGUCCUCUAUGGUGGGGAUAAAGACGUUAUAUGAUGUAACAGGGAUCGUAUCAAACAUUUUGUAUGUUCUGUCAAAAAGAAAAGAAAAAAGACUGACAAAAAUGUUGUAGACAAUGCAAUGUGAAACUAAACCAUCAGACCACUAAGUAUAUACAGCCUUAUGGGAUCAGACCUCCUUGAAACGAAUGGUGUGUUGAUAUGUGAAUGGACAUUUAAAUAUACAAGACCAUCGCGGAGAAACAAUAGAUAAAUAUGGACAUUUCAUUUCAAAUACUUUCAUAUUGAAUAUUGAAAAGAGAAAACUAC
Molecule: non-coding RNA, 309 nt
Organism: Pelobates cultripes (western spadefoot toad)
Lineage: Eukaryota; Metazoa; Chordata; Amphibia; Anura; Pelobatidae
Source: the annotation of a GenBank genome assembly